This 511-nucleotide ribosomal RNA is filed under the name uncultured bacterium. RNAcentral describes it as "partial 16S ribosomal RNA". It matches the Rfam family "Bacterial small subunit ribosomal RNA", at positions 28 to 507 of the family's 1533-position model. The record is from RNAcentral.
GACAAACGCUGGCGGCAUGCCUAACACAUGCAAGUCGAACGGACAGAACAGGGAAGCUUUUCGGAGUGGAACUGGAAAGUUAGUGGCGGAUGGGUGAGUAACGCGUGGACAACCUACCUUGUAAAGGGGAAUAACCUCGAGAAAUCGAAGCUAAUACCCCAUAAUAACCUUGCUUCGCAUGAAGUAAGGAGGAAAGGCGGCCUUAGCGCUGUCGAUACAAGAUGGGUCCGCGUCUGAUUAGCUAGUUGGUGAGGUAAAGGCUCACCAAGGCGACGAGCAGUAGCCGGCCUGAGAGGGUGAACGGCCACAUUGGGACUGGGUCACGGCCCAAACUCCUACGGGAGGCAGCAGUGGGGAAUCUUCCGCAAUGGGCGAAAGCCUGACGGAGCAAUGCCGCGUGAGUGAAGAAGGCCUUCGGGUUGUAAAACUCUGUCCUUAUCGAAGAGAGAGUGCUGUAGUAAUUGACAAUACUAGGACGGUAGAUGAGGAGGAAGCCCCGGCUAACUAUGUG